CACUCAACGAGUCGAGUUGUUUGGGAAUGCAGCUCUAAAUGGGUGGUAAAUUCCAUCUAAAGCUAAAUAUUGGCGAGAGACCGAUAGCGAACAAGUACCGUGAGGGAAAGAUGAAAAGAACUUUGGAAAGAGAGUUAAACAGUACGUGAAAUUGUUGAAAGGGAAACGUUUGAAGUCAGUUGUGUUGGCUGGGGAUCAAGCCAGUCUUUUUGACUGGGUGUACUUCCUAGUUGACAGGCCAACAUCAGUUUUGACCGUCAGAGAAAGGCUUUGGGAAUGUGGCACCUUUACAAGGUGUGUUAUAGCCCUUGGUUGUAUGUGACGGUUGGGACUGAGGAUAGCAGCGUGCCACUUUGGCAGGGUUUCGACCACGUUCACGCUUGGGAUGUUGGCAUAAUGGCUUUAAGCGACCCGUCUUGAAACACGGACCAAGGAGUCUAACAUGCAUGCAAGUGUUUGGGUGGAAAACCCAAGUGCGUAAUGAAAGUGAAAGUUGAGAUCCUCGUUAGUGGGGAGCAUCGAUGCCCGGACCAGAACUUUUGGGACGGAUCUGCGGUAGAGCAAGCAUGUUGGGACCCGAAAGAUGGUGAACUAUGCCUGAAUAGGGUGAAGCCAGAGGAAACUCUGGUGGAGGCUCGUAGCG
This 643-nucleotide ribosomal RNA is filed under the name Amanita bulbulosa. RNAcentral describes it as "Amanita sp. JEIC-2022b partial large subunit ribosomal RNA". It matches the Rfam family "Eukaryotic large subunit ribosomal RNA", at positions 254 to 882 of the family's 3401-position model. Lineage: Eukaryota; Fungi; Basidiomycota; Agaricomycetes; Agaricales; Amanitaceae. The record is from RNAcentral.